UGCUGCACACACAUACAAACGGCAUGUGUGCACAUUCGGAGUUCCCGGGCGGCCCGUAGUCCCCGAGGCGCGGCUUCUCCGUCACCCACCCCUCUCCCCCCUUUUGUCCUCCUUCCUCCCAUCCAGGCUGCUUCCAGAACCUCUCGGUCCCCGGAACCAGGGGGAGCCCACCCUAACUGCGCUCCUGCAGCACAACAACGAGAAAAGCUCCUUCCAAAUGGGGAGGAUCAGGGUAGGGGGAUGGGGAGAGGGUGCGCGGUUCCCUUCUCGCCACUUCCUUGUAUGGACAGUGGGGGACUCCAAAGCCCGGCUCCGAGAGGCCCGAAGCUUGGUACCCGGACGUGCAGGGGGAAGCACAAAGGGGCCGACGAGAAGGGGGUGGGGAGGCCUGCCGGUGCAAUGAAAUGGAGUGGGCUGAAGCCUCAGGAGAGCAAAUCGAGGGCGGCGGCACGGACAUCGCUGCCUGGCAUCGCGAUGGAACCAAGGACCGUUCAAGCUGCCUCUUACUACCCUCUCUUAGCCACUGUCCCUGAGAACCACUCUUAAAGAGGAAGUCAAAAGCCCAAACAGUCCGUAAUCCUGACAACGCCCAGCUACCUGCCUACAGCUGACUUCAAUCCCCAACUUGCAACGCGGCGCAGUAUUCAAGGGUGAACGGGAACGCGUUGCACCCUGGGAGUAAGAAUCGCGAUGGGUCUGAUGAGUUGUGGGAGUUGUAGUUUCAUAUGCAGACGCUGCCCUGUACCGUAGGAUGUCUGGGGCCGGGGGAUGGGGAGCCUGCUGGGAAGGGUACUGGGAUUUGUAGUUUGAGCCCCUCGCCUCAAAUUCUGGGUAGAGAGACAUAUUUCUCUUUGGGUGUGCGCUGUUAUCCCCUUAUUACCGCCUUCCGAUAUGGACAGAUACUUCUGCCUAACUGCGGAUGAAGCCAUUGAGAAGGGGACUGGAUGAAUAAACCCCACUAGACGUUAAUUAACAUUAGUGACAAUA
Long non-coding RNA from Peromyscus maniculatus bairdii (prairie deer mouse), 987 nucleotides. RefSeq lists it as uncharacterized. Lineage: Eukaryota; Metazoa; Chordata; Mammalia; Rodentia; Cricetidae. The record is from RefSeq and is a predicted model, not a curated record.